Molecule: ribosomal RNA, 482 nt
Filed under: uncultured bacterium
Lineage: Bacteria
Description: partial 16S ribosomal RNA
Rfam family: Bacterial small subunit ribosomal RNA
Source: RNAcentral
AUUGAACGCUGGCGGCAUGCUUUACACAUGCAAGUCGAACGGUAACAGGCCGCAAGGUGCUGACGAGUGGCGAACGGGUGAGUAAUGCAUCGGAACGUGCCCAGUCGUGGGGGAUAACUACUCGAAAGAGUAGCUAAUACCGCAUACGAUCUAUGGAUGAAAGCGGGGGACCGUAAGGCCUCGCGCGAUUGGAGCAGCCGAUGUCAGAUUAGGUAGUUGGUGGGGUAAAGGCUCACCAAGCCAACGAUCUGUAGCUGGUCUGAGAGGACGACCAGCCACACUGGGACUGAGACACGGCCCAGACUCCUACGGGAGGCAGCAGUGGGGAAUUUUGGACAAUGGGCGCAAGCCUGAUCCAGCAAUGCCGCGUGCAGGAAGAAGGCCUUCGGGUUGUAAACUGCUUUUGUACGGAACGAAACGGCUCUGGUUAAUACCCGGGGCUAAUGACGGUACCGUAAGAAUAAGCACCGGCUAACUACGUG